This 253-nucleotide ribosomal RNA is filed under the name uncultured bacterium. RNAcentral describes it as "partial 16S ribosomal RNA". It matches the Rfam family "Bacterial small subunit ribosomal RNA", at positions 524 to 776 of the family's 1533-position model. The record is from RNAcentral.
UACGUAGGGGGCUAGCGUUGUCCGGAUUUAUUGGGCGUAAAGAGCGUGUAGGCGGCUUUACAGGUCCGUUGUGAAAACUCGAGGCUCAACCUCGAGACGCCGGUGGAAACCGUAAAGCUAGAGUCCGGAAGAGGAGAGUGGAAUUCCUGGUGUAGCGGUGAAAUGCGCAGAUAUCAGGAAGAACACCCGUGGCGAAGGCGGCUCUCUGGGACGGUACUGACGCUGAGACGCGAAAGCGUGGGGAGCAAACAGG